CAUUCUUUCUAAGGACUGUCCCCUAGCACUCGCUGGUCCACUUGUCUCCUUACCUUCUUACUAGCAGGCAGAAGGUCCUGGUAUAUAGUCUGAGACAGAGAAAAGGUGUCUGUAGUGAGUGUAGAAGAAAAGGGACAUGCCACAGUGUUAGAGAGACCAACGUCUGCAUUACCUAAACUAAUUUUAAUGUCAGCCAGUGCACACAAGUUUUGUUCCCAUACAUCCCUCUUAAGCUUCCAAACUUAAAGGGACACUAUAGUCACCAGAACAACUACAGCUUAUUGUUUUUGUUCUGGUAAGUAGAAUCAUUCCAUUCAGGCUUUUUG
This 326-nucleotide long non-coding RNA is filed under the name Pelobates cultripes (western spadefoot toad). The record is from RNAcentral. Lineage: Eukaryota; Metazoa; Chordata; Amphibia; Anura; Pelobatidae.